AAACAUAACAUGCUCAGUAAUAUUCAAGGAGAGAUUGAGACUGGGAAAGUUCUCAUGACUCUUAUCUAAAUUAUUGACGAAGUGUCUUGAAGAUCAUUUCUUUAGUACCUCUUCCUUUGUGUAUUCUCCUUUAUUGCUCUUUAUAUGGGCAUGUAUCCUCUGUGAUAAAGUAUUUUACUUGCAUUCUACUGAGUCGCAUUUUGUGUGUGAAUACAAUUUGUGUGGCCCGUGAUCUUGAAUAUGAGCUCCUCUUUGAUGGAUCUUGUGGGUGCCUAGCCUAAUCGCUCUGACCUGCACAGGGAGCACAGGGAACGCACGACUAAGACUUGACCGGGGGUGUUCCCGGCAAGGUCCUCCGGCGAGAGGAUGAGAAUGUGAAGAGAGCAAAGAAAGAGUCUAGGGUUUUAGGUCUAAGUUUGGGCUGCAUCACUUGGUAUUUAUAGAGUUUGCUUGGCUUGCUCUCCAAGUACAGGCACAUACCUUGCACGGGUCGGUUGGAGUCAUCGUGACGUUAGAGAUAAGGUUGGAUAACCGUUUCUGGGGUGAGUUGGCACCCCCAUGUGCUUUAAUCAUUAUCUCUUGGCGUAACCGUUCCCCUGGUUUUGGGAAAUGUGGCAUUGAGAGUGGCCGAGCCAGGAAGCGGACGGCUCGGGGAGACAGAGGGACGUGAUGAAGUCAUCUGUCUGUGCUUUGACUUUGGCCGAGCCGUUGAGCGGUAAGGUGAGAUCCUUAUCCGAGCUUCGGGCUUUGCCGAGCUUGGGCUUUGGCGACGUUAGGUUCGACCGUGGCUUAGCUCCGACCCGUCUCCAUUGAGCAUGUGGGAGCCAAUUUGUUCGGCCUACUACAAUAGCCUUUAUACUUCUGCCAAUGCCCUUGUAUGGCAAGGAUUGAUCCUGAGCUGGGCCAAUAACUUGGAGCAUAGGGAUGGUUUUCCCGAGUCGUCUUAUCGACAACUUUUUCAAAAGCUGCAACCGCCGGAGUUGAGCCCCAAUGGAUGGGUGCCAGGUGUCGAUCAUCGCGUCGGGGUGGCAGAUGAAGGGACGUUUGGCAUGUGAGAGGCUCUGAGCGGUUGUCCUAUCGUGGCCACGUGUCAUAUGUUGAGUGGCUCAUGGCUCAGCGGGAUAAUGAUGAGGCGGGAAAUUUGAACCGUUUCCCUUCCUCCAUAUAAAGUGGGACGAGAGGAGAGAGACGGUUACUCUUCGUGUUUCUCUUUCUAGAACCAGAGCUUCUCUCUUUAACUUCUCGCAUCCAGGCUUCAAUCCAGAUCCAGAUCUCUUAAUUCAAAGCUCAAGUUCCACAGAAAUCUACCGGUAUGAGAUCGUUUCAUUAUGUUUCUACCAUCUUAUUCAGCUUUGGCAUCAUUUUUUUUAUCGAUUCUUUGCAUUUUUUGGAAGUUUUGUUCUGAGUGAAUAGUGGAAUACUGGGGUGAACAGUGAUGUUCAUCCCCAUCUUCAAACUGUUCUUUCGAGCCCCAGUAGUGGCACUGGUUGGCUUUGGCCGAGUGUGUCCAUCUUUUGAUGUAUUCACCGAGCAAAAGAGUUUAGACCCUAGGUUAGCUAGAUGCCGAACCCUUGCAACCGUCUCGACCGUGGUGAGCCAAAUAGGAUAGGUCGAACCUUGUGAGUCUUUUGACUUUCUUUCCGACGCCGAAUUUUCAUUCUUUGCUUUCCUUUGAUUUUGUUAGGUUUGGCCCACCCGGUCAUCUUCAUCUCCUCUGAUUCCAAAAGCUCGGGAAGCGACUCUGCGGACUCGUUGGUCAGGAGGCUAAUUGACAGACAUAGGAACCGAAGCCGAGGCUCUUCCUCCGUUUCUUUGAACAUGUCUGCUUCCUCAAACAUGUCCGACAAUUUGAACGCCGAAUGAGAGUUCAACACCACACCGGAGAUCACUCUAGCCCCUUCCACUGUGUUGGAGGCCGACCUUCAGAGGGGGUAUGAGGCCGAGUCUAGGUUCAACACCGGUGCGGAGGCUUCAACUUCUACGCUGAAGGACGCAGAUCUGUUUGACCAGGGCCGACUGUGCCCCCACGCCCAUUUCUUUAGUGGCGACCCAAAGGAGUACCAAAACUUCUGUCGAGAGUAUGACAUUCGUGCCGACGUGAUGCUCAAUCAAGUUAGGAGUGAUUAGAUUAAGGAUAAGGCUCAGGACCGUCCUGAGCAUAUUAUUGUGCCUCUCAUGGCCAUUUGUGAAGCCGGCCUACGGUUCCCUCUUCACCCUUCCUUAGGGAGGUCCUGUCAAGAUUUAGCCUUGCCCAACACCAGCUGGCCAUAAACAACUAUAGGAUCAUCAUGUCUAUCAUUGCCCUUAAGGAAAGCCAGGGGUUUGAGUUCACAGUCGCCGACCUGUUCCAUACCUACACCAUGUCCUGACACGGCCGAAGCGGGCGUCGGUACUUGACAAGCCGCCCAAAGAUGGAGCCCUUGAUCACUGGCCUUCCGGAUAUUGACAAAUGGGCCGAUUUCUAUCUGGAAGUCCAUGGACACUACGAGUUCGGCGAUGCGCCGAGGCGUCACUCUGUAUCGAAAGUUAGCGACAUGAGAGGUCUUGCAAUUUUGCCUUCAUGUGUCUUGUUUUUGGAUUUUGAUUCUAGUCUCCUGUCUAUCUGACAUUAUUUGUUCUUUGCAGCGCUCGGUCCUAGUUCCAAGGGUUUGCACACCAACUCCGUCGCCGAGCACUGUGAGACCCUGAAGGCUCAGGCUUACUGAAACGCUCCCACCCUUCUUGAGUACGUUCUGUCAUACAAAGGGGUGCUUAGGAAGAAAACCAAAAAGAAGGAAGGGGAGCCAAUCUUGAAAAAGAAAGCGGGGCCUUCAGAAACUCAAGGGGCCGGGAGAGGACAAAAGUUGCCAAGAGUUAGGUUGCCGACUUUUAGGAAGUCGGCAGAUUACUGGUUCGGCUUGGAGAAUGAGGUCUAGGAACCAAUAUUGCCAGGACUCAACAUGCCGCUCCGAACUGUCGUUCCAAUCUUUGAUGACGAUAUGUCAAGAAGAAACGUUCCUCGGCCAGUCAUACCAAUUCGCACUCUCGCCCUGGCUCGCUCCAGAGUUCCUCCGGACACUUAGAGGGAGAAAAGGCAGAAGACUUCUCAUGAUACUGUACUGCAAAGUAGCUCCGGACCUGCGCAAACUGAGGGCAGCAAUGCUCUUACGCCGAAUGUCACUGUUCCUAAGCUUCAUUUGGAGACAACAGAGCCCCCGGUGGAGGCAGUCGCUCGGCGGGAGUUCAGCCCGUCCUACGCUAGACUUGAUGGGAGGAGUUGAUGAUUCUGUUUAGGCCGAGCCUGGACUUGCUGUCACCCUUUUGAGAGGUUUGGCCCUGCCGAAGGAUGUGGAGCAGGUGCCAUCGGAGCUCAUGCUGAAUUUCGUGGAGAUGUGCUCUCACCUGGUGGUGCAAGUCGAACAAGCUGCUCUCAAGGCCUCCGACAAGGUGACGAAGGUGGGCGCCGAGCAUGAGCGUUACAAGAGCGAUCGAGACACGAUGCGUUAGAAGGUCAAGGCAUUGGAACAGCAGGCGAGGGUUGCAGGUGCUGAAAA
This is a long non-coding RNA of Rhododendron vialii, 3533 nucleotides long. RefSeq lists it as uncharacterized. NCBI's taxonomy places the organism in Eukaryota, Viridiplantae, Streptophyta, Magnoliopsida, Ericales, Ericaceae. The transcript has 2 exons. The record is from RefSeq and is a predicted model, not a curated record.